UCUUGGCUCAGGACGAACGCUGGCGGCGUGCCUAAUACAUGCAAGUCGAGCGGACAGAAGGGAGCUUGCUCCCGGAUGUUAGCGGCGGACGGGUGAGUAACACGUGGGUAACCUGCCUGUAAGACUGGGAUAACUCCGGGAAACCGGAGCUAAUACCGGAUAGUUCCUUGAACCGCAUGGUUCAAGGAUGAAAGACGGUUUCGGCUGUCACUUACAGAUGGACCCGCGGCGCAUUAGCUAGUUGGUGAGGUAACGGCUCACCAAGGCGACGAUGCGUAGCCGACCUGAGAGGGUGAUCGGCCACACUGGGACUGAGACACGGCCCAGACUCCUACCGGAGUCUGCAGUAGGGAGUUCUCCGCAAUGGACGCAAGUCGGAGCAGAACACGCCGCGGGAGUAAUGAAGGCUUCCGAUCCGUAAAGCUUUGUUGUUAAGGAAGAACAAGGCAAGAGGUAACUGCUUUGCCCCUUGGACGGUAACUAUCAAGAAAGGCACGGCUAACUACGUGGCAGCAGCCGCGGGUAUUACGUAAGUGGCAAGCGUUGUUCCGGAAAUUUAUUGGCCGUAAGGGCUCGGCAGGCGGUUUCUUAAGUUCUGAUGUGAAAGCCCCCGGCUCAACCGGGGAGGGUCAUUGGAAACUGGGAAACUUGAGUGCAGAAGAGGAGAGUGGAAUUCCACCGUGUAGCGGUGAAAUGCGUAGAGAUGUGGAGGAACACCAGUGGCGAAGGCGACUCUCUGGUCUGUAACUGACGCUGAGGAGCGAAAGCGUGGGGAGCGAACAGGAUUAGAUACCCUGGUAGUCCACGCCGUAAAACGAUGAGUGCUAAGUGUUAGGGGGUUUCCGCCCCUUAGUGCUGCAGCUAACGCAUUAAGCACUCCGCCUGGGGAGUACGGUCGCAAGACUGAAACUCAAAGGAAUUGACGGGGGCCCGCACAAGCGGUGGAGCAUGUGGUUUAAUUCGAAGCAACGCGAAGAACCUUACCAGGUCUUGACAUCCUCUGACAACCCUAGAGAUAGGGCUUUCCCUUCGGGGACAGAGUGACAGGUGGUGCAUGGUUGUCGUCAGCUCGUGUCGUGAGAUGUUGGGUUAAGUCCCGCAACGAGCGCAACCCUUGAUCUUAGUUGCCAGCAUUCAGUUGGGCACUCUAAGGUGACUGCCGGUGACAAACCGGAGGAAGGUGGGGAUGACGUCAAAUCAUCAUGCCCCUUAUGACCUGGGCUACACACGUGCUACAAUGGACAGAACAAAGGGCUGCGAGACCGCAAGGUUUAGCCAAUCCCACAAAUCUGUUCUCAGUUCGGAUCGCAGUCUGCAACUCGACUGCGUGAAGCUGGAAUCGCUAGUAAUCGCGGAUCAGCAUGCCGCGGUGAAUACGUUCCCGGGCCUUGUACACACCGCCCGUCACACCACGUGAGUUUGCAACACCCGAAGUCGGUGAGGUAACCAUUA
This 1452-nucleotide ribosomal RNA is filed under the name Bacillus sp. C4(2008). RNAcentral describes it as "16S ribosomal RNA". It matches the Rfam family "Bacterial small subunit ribosomal RNA". The record is from RNAcentral. Lineage: Bacteria; Bacillati; Bacillota; Bacilli; Caryophanales; Bacillaceae.